RNAcentral lists this small RNA (28 nucleotides) under Bombyx mori (domestic silkworm). Its description in RNAcentral is "piRNA piR-bmo-1331201". Lineage: Eukaryota; Metazoa; Arthropoda; Insecta; Lepidoptera; Bombycidae. The record is from RNAcentral.
UAUAUCGAAGAAGAGGGCUCCUGUCGGA